GGAUGCGAUCAUACCAGCACUAAAGCACCGGAUCCCAUCAGAACUCUGAAGUUAAGUGUGCUUGGGCGAGAGUAGUACUAGGAUGGGUGACCUCCUGGGAAGUCCUCGUGUUGCAUUCC
This 119-nucleotide ribosomal RNA is filed under the name Triticum aestivum (bread wheat). The record is from RNAcentral. Lineage: Eukaryota; Viridiplantae; Streptophyta; Magnoliopsida; Poales; Poaceae. RNAcentral also lists the same sequence under 2 other names.